UGAGGACCACAGACCAGCAGGACUCUGGUCCAAAACUGCAGGAACUUUUUUUUGUUUUUGCAGUUUAUGUUGUUUUUGCAGCUGCUGACACGCGACGUUUGAGGAUAAAUCAAACGUUACUUCACUAACCUCGAGGCUCUUGGGUAUUUUCCAGAUCAUCAGUUCUUCAAGACUAUUUUUGGCUCUACCAUGACGCAUGCUGAGUCUCAUGAAGUCAACAUGACGUCCUAAAAUCGCCAUCUUUGUUCGGAGAUAGAGGAGGGGCAAACCACUGACAGUAAGAUGAGU
This is a non-coding RNA of Plectropomus leopardus (leopard coralgrouper), 288 nucleotides long. The record is from RefSeq and is a predicted model, not a curated record. NCBI's taxonomy places the organism in Eukaryota, Metazoa, Chordata, Actinopteri, Perciformes, Serranidae.